GCAAACUUGGUCAUUUAGAGGAAGUAAAAGUCGUAACAAGGUUUCCGUAGGUGAACCUGCGGAAGGAUCAUUAAUGAAACGAACCCUCGGGGGGUUGUGCUGGCGCCUCGGCGCAACGUGCACGCCCCCUCUGGCGUUUAGACCCCUUCACACCUGUGCACGAACCCGUCGGACGGGGGUGGCGCCUCGCGCGCCCUCCGGUCCGGCCCCUUCACAUCAGCUUAUGAACGUACGUCGAAUGCAUCAUUGCGCAUGCGCAACCGAAAUACAACUUUUAACAACGGAUCUCUUGGUUCUCGCAUCGAUGAAGAACGCAGC
This 318-nucleotide unclassified non-coding RNA is filed under the name uncultured fungus. Its description in RNAcentral is "partial contains small subunit ribosomal RNA, internal transcribed spacer 1, and 5.8S ribosomal RNA". The stretch from base 1 to 73 matches the Rfam family "Eukaryotic small subunit ribosomal RNA", at positions 1759 to 1831 of the family's 1831-position model. The record is from RNAcentral. Lineage: Eukaryota; Fungi.